AAAUAUAUAUAUAUAUAUAUAUCCUAUUUUAACUAAAUGGUUCUUCUGUAUAAUUUAUUAGUUGAUUUGGCAACUGCAUGUUAACCCUAAUCAGAAUAGUAGUGUAAUCAUUAUUAUAUUACAAAUACAGUUGCAUCCAACCAAAAUAAUCUAAGGGUAUUGACAUGUUUUCUCAUAAGUUUUUGUUUUAGGCUUCAUUGGCUGAAAUGAAAUGCAAGUCUAAACCAUUGAUUAUUGAAAUUACUAAAAACACAAAUGGAUAGCACUCAGCAAUUUUACCUGUACUAUCAUUCUCACUAUGAGUUUUAGUUUGAUCCUGCUGCCUGUGAUUUUGUAAAUGUGUUAAUUUGAAUUAUUCAAAGAGAAGAGGUUUGUUGCUAUCAUAUGCAAUGGAUUGCAAUUUUAACAAUGUUAUUUUCAUUGCAUAAAUUUACCCCAGGAUUUAUACAUUUAUUUCAUCGCCAAGGGGAAACUCACCUGUACGUAAGUGGUGAUAUAAUCAAAGAUUAACUCAGUUGAAUUGACUACAAGAAAAAUGAAACUGAAAAGCUUUCAACACGAAAUUACCAUGGAAACACAUCAUUGUUGUCGGGUUGUGCAUGAAAUUUUUGUUACUUUUCCUUCAUAUCAAGAUUUCAAUGCAUGUGCUGAAUCUCAGGUUGUAAAUGAUUUGUGCAAGGCACGCCUGCGAUUCUUAUCAGCAGCCAAUGUUGGAAUUCUUCUUGAUA
This 728-nucleotide unclassified non-coding RNA is filed under the name Hevea brasiliensis (rubber tree). Lineage: Eukaryota; Viridiplantae; Streptophyta; Magnoliopsida; Malpighiales; Euphorbiaceae. The record is from RNAcentral.